RNAcentral lists this long non-coding RNA (1862 nucleotides) under Phocoena sinus (vaquita). Its description in RNAcentral is "lncRNA (ENSPSNG00000001795.1)". The record is from RNAcentral. Lineage: Eukaryota; Metazoa; Chordata; Mammalia; Artiodactyla; Phocoenidae.
GAAAGGAAUGUCAUUCUGUGGUCAUUUGCAGCGGGUUGUGCUGACUCCCUCAGCGGCUUUAAGGGAAGAGACUCACCAGGAGGGGGUCGUGCCUGGGGAACCGCCCCCGCUGCCAGGACAACAGAGCCACUGGCUGGGGUAGGAGGCCCCCCCACCCCCACCACCCCCCCCACCCCCGUCACCGCACCUCCUGCGAGGACACACUUCUGAUUUCCAUCUCUUGCUGCUGCUGCUGCUGCCGCCUCACACGCCUUGGAACUUUCAGAGCUCCUCGCACACUCCCGGACUGAAUCAGCCCGUCUGCCUCCAGCCAGGAAGAAGUAUCAGCUGUCCGAGCAAGAUUCACUUUGUAAUUGCCCCAGUGCGCCCCACGGGGGCUGUGUCAGGUCUGCAUGACUAAGAUUGCUGCUGGCGAGACUGAGACCCUUUCUGUGAGGUUGUCUUAUCUGCCUUUGCUCUGUGUGCUGGCAGUGAGCCCUUUGCUACAAGAGAGUUUUGUUUGACUUCUGAGAUCCAAGGCUAAUUGCUGUUAAAAUUUUAAGUGGCAUUUUAAAAAAAUCUGUCUGCAUGUGGGGUGCAUUGUUCCAUCUCCACAAGUUAUUUGAUUUUUAAAAUAUUGUUUGACUUCAUUGCUGUGUAUGAAUAUUUCUCUACAUGCUUCAGAUACACAUUCCCACAGUCUUUCGCUUCCUAAGGGGGAAAAAACCCCACCACACACAGAAAAGACACACAUGCCCACCUUGUGUAGGGGGAGGGGUUUAAGGUUUCGGGUCCGACACUGAUGAGGAAGCGGGACUGCAGGUGGCUCGCGAGGCCCAGCGAGGUGGGGUGAGGUCGGUCCUGCUGUCCUGUGUCAGCGUCAAGGUCCAGAGGGCUCAGGGCUGGGAUCCAAGUUCUGUUGUGCAAGAAAAAGGAAAGGAGACACUAAGUACCACCCGUUUAGCAAUAAAGGAAGAUCGUUCUGUACUAGGAAUUGUGCUGUGGAUGAGUCAUUCAUGAGAACGUAACCAGUGUUUGUCUUGUGACCUUGUGCUUUUGAAGUCAGACGAAACCGUGUGAUCACCUUGCACACAGGAGGGUACACAGUGAUCACUGAGACUCAGACCAACCCGACAGGGCGGCUUCCUCAUGGUGCUUGUUUAUUAUAUCUAUUUAAUCCUGCUUGACACUUUACCCAAGGGAAACGGUCCCUUUUACCAGUUGGAUGCUAGCAGCGUUAUUUCAUAGUGUGGUGACUGGUUAGAGAAAUUCAUGUACUCAACCAAUCACGGUUUCAAACAAAAUUUUUAUGUGCAAAGGAUGGCAACCUUCUCGUAUGUUUAAACCACCAGUAAGCUUUGUACAUCUGUGAUAACGCCUGUUUUAUAUUCAAAUGAACAAAUAAAAGCUUUUAUUUUUGUUGCUCUGAAAAUAGCAGUUUCUUAAUUGGUCCCCUGGAAAACUGGGCCAGCUUCCAUCCUAGGAAGGAAGUGACUCCUACCAGGAAUGUAUCUGACUCUGUUUACAUAAUUUGUUGCAUUACUUAUCAGUAUAGAUAAUCAUACUUUGAACAAUGUUUAAAUUUUGAUGUGGGCAUUUAUUGCUAAAAAUAUUCCUAUGGCAACAAAUGUUUUGUGAAAUGUUUUUUUUAAUUCUUUUAAAUAUAUCUAAAUAUAUUUGUUCAUAUUUUGCUCCAAGUGUACAGAUUAUUGGUAACUUUUAGGAACAAGGAGUGUGCGUCUGUGUGCACAUACUCUCUGCUGCUCCUCGGCAGGAAGCUUUGCCAGGACAUAGGUCUCGCUGACGAUUCCAACCCAGAUUAUCUUUGUUUUGAUCUUGGCUUCAUCUCUUGGAAAGAGCGGGAUACUCCAAUAAAGAUGUUU